RNAcentral lists this ribosomal RNA (492 nucleotides) under uncultured bacterium. Its description in RNAcentral is "partial 16S ribosomal RNA". It matches the Rfam family "Bacterial small subunit ribosomal RNA", at positions 30 to 507 of the family's 1533-position model. The record is from RNAcentral.
AUUGAACGCUGGCGGCAUGCUUUACACAUGCAAGUCGAACGGUAACAGGCCUUCGGGUGCUGACGAGUGGCGAACGGGUGAGUAAUGCAUCGGAACGUGCCCAGAGGUGGGGGAUAACGCAGCGAAAGCUGUGCUAAUACCGCAUGUGAUCUGAGGAUGAAAGCGGGGGACCAGGCAGCAAUGUUUGGCCUCGCGCCUUUGGAGCGGCCGAUGUCAGAUUAGGUAGUUGGUGGGGUAAAGGCCUACCAAGCCGACGAUCUGUAGCUGGUCUGAGAGGACGACCAGCCACACUGGGACUGAGACACGGCCCAGACUCCUACGGGAGGCAGCAGUGGGGAAUUUUGGACAAUGGGCGCAAGCCUGAUCCAGCAAUGCCGCGUGCGGGAAGAAGGCCUUCGGGUUGUAAACUGCUUUUGUACGGAACGAAAAGGCUCUGGCUAAUACCUGGGGCUGAUGACGGUACCGUAAGAAUAAGCACCGGCUAACUACGUG